CCUACGGGUGGCAGCAGUGAGGAAUAUUGGUCAAUGGGCGCGAGCCUGAACCAGCCAAGUAUCGUGAAGGAUGACUGCCCUACGGGUUGUAAACUUCUUUUGUAAAGGAACAAAGUGAGGCACGUGUGCCUUUCUGUAUGUACUUUAUGAAUAAGGAUCGGCUACCUCCGUGCCAGCAGCCGCGGUAAUACGGAGGAUCCGAGCGUUUUCCGGAUUUAUUUGGUUUAAAGGGGGCGUAGAGGGGUUGUUAAGUCAGUUGUGAAAGGUUGGGGCUCAACCCGAAAAGUGCAAUUGAUACUGGCAGUCUGGAGGGCAGUUGAGGUAGGCGGAAUGCGUGGUGUAGCGGUGAAAUGCUUAGAUAUCAUGCAGAACUCCGAUUGCGAAGGCAGCUUACUAAGCUGUCACUGACGUUGAGGCACGAAAGCGUGGGUAUCAAACAGGAUUAGAUACCCCGGUAGUC
This 460-nucleotide ribosomal RNA is filed under the name uncultured bacterium. Its description in RNAcentral is "partial 16S ribosomal RNA". It matches the Rfam family "Bacterial small subunit ribosomal RNA", at positions 338 to 795 of the family's 1533-position model. The record is from RNAcentral.